UCCGUAGGUGAACCUGCGGAGGGAUCAUUACCGAGUUAUACAACUCCCAAACCCACUGUGAACCUUACCAAAUCGUUGCUUCGGCGGGACAGCCCCGGGCCCUCGCGGCACGGAACCAGGCGCCCGCCGGAGGCCAAAAAACUCUCCUGUUUUCUCUUAGCGGAAUUUAUCUGAGUGGCCCUUCAUGGGCAAGCAAAUGAAUCAAAACUUUCAACAACGGAUCUCUUGGUUCUGGCAUCGAUGAAGAACGCAGCGAAAUGCGAUAAGUAAUGUGAAUUGCAGAAUUCAGUGAAUCAUCGAAUCUUUGAACGCACAUUGCGCCCGCCAGUAUUCUGGCGGGCAUGCCUGUUCGAGCGUCAUUUCAACCCUCAAGCCCCCCCGGGGGCAUGGUGUUGGGGGACGGCCCCGCCCCGCGCGGUCUGGCCGCCCCCGAAAUGCAGUGGCGACCCCGCCGCAGCCUCCCCUGCGUAGUAGCUAUACAACUGGAAACCUCGCACCGGAGAGCGGCGCUGCUCAGCCGUGAAACCCCAACUUCUGAAAGGUUGACCUCGGAUCAGGUAGGAAUACCCGCUGAACUUAAGCAUAUCAAUAAGCGGAGGA
This 600-nucleotide ribosomal RNA is filed under the name Cladobotryum mycophilum. RNAcentral's name for it is "eukaryotic LSU rRNA". The stretch from base 206 to 359 matches the Rfam family "5.8S ribosomal RNA". Lineage: Eukaryota; Fungi; Ascomycota; Sordariomycetes; Hypocreales; Hypocreaceae. The record is from RNAcentral.